Molecule: unclassified non-coding RNA, 233 nt
Filed under: plant metagenome
Description: partial contains small subunit ribosomal RNA, internal transcribed spacer 1, and 5.8S ribosomal RNA
Source: RNAcentral
UUUCCGUAGGUGAACCUGCGGAAGGAUCAUUAUUGGAUUUUGAAACUUCAGGCUGCUGCUGGCUCUCCUCGGAGGGCGUGUGCACGCUUGUUGUCCAUUAUUUCUCCCACUGUGCACAAAUUGUAGACCUUUCAGUAGGCCUAUGUUGUUUUUCACAAUCUCUGAAUGUAAUAGAAUGGUUUUGAAUCUCGGGAAAUACAAUACAACUUUCAGCAACGGAUCUCUUGGCUCUC